This 253-nucleotide ribosomal RNA is filed under the name uncultured bacterium. RNAcentral's name for it is "partial 16S ribosomal RNA". It matches the Rfam family "Bacterial small subunit ribosomal RNA", at positions 524 to 776 of the family's 1533-position model. The record is from RNAcentral.
UACGUAGGGGGCAAGCGUUGUCCGGAUUUAUUGGGCGUAAAGGGCUCGUAGGCGGCCAACUAAGUCAGACGUGAAAUCCCUCGGCUUAACCGGGGAACUGCAUCUGAUACUGGAUGGCUUGAGUUCGGGAGAGGGAUGCGGAAUUCCAGGUGUAGCGGUGAAAUGCGUAGAUAUCUGGAGGAACACCGGUGGCGAAGGCGGCAUCCUGGACCGACACUGACACUGAGGAGCGAAAGCCAGGGGAGCAAACGGG